UACGUAGGGUGCGAGCGUUACUCGGAAUUACUGGGCGUAAAGCGUGCGUAGGCGGUUCGUUAAGUCUGCUGUGAAAGCCCCGGGCUCAACCUGGGAAUGGCAGUGGAUACUGGCGAGCUAGAGUGUGAUAGAGGAUGGUGGAAUUCCCGGUGUAGCGGUGAAAUGCGUAGAGAUCGGGAGGAACAUCAGUGGCGAAGGCGGCCAUCUGGAUCAACACUGACGCUGAGGCACGAAAGCGUGGGGAGCAAACAGG
This 253-nucleotide ribosomal RNA is filed under the name uncultured bacterium. Its description in RNAcentral is "partial 16S ribosomal RNA". It matches the Rfam family "Bacterial small subunit ribosomal RNA", at positions 524 to 776 of the family's 1533-position model. The record is from RNAcentral.